This 393-nucleotide long non-coding RNA is filed under the name Homo sapiens (human). RNAcentral's name for it is "non-protein coding lnc-TEX101-2:1". The record is from RNAcentral. Lineage: Eukaryota; Metazoa; Chordata; Mammalia; Primates; Hominidae.
CUCCAGGGCCAGCCUCAGCAGUGCAGGGUGCAGGGUGUGGUUUCUGCCUCCUGCAGUAGCCAGAAGAUCUUGACCGGAGCUGUCCUGUGCCUGUGGUUUGGUCCUUGCCCUGGGCCCUGUGGCCUCCAAGCUGGCUUCAUGAGGGCCCUUGGAGCUUGGUGACCUUCCUACCCUGUCCUUUAACCAGUCCCUUUUCUGCUUCUUGCUGGAGUGAGCUGGGCGGUUUUCUCUGAAUCUGUUCCUGUGCUGGGUUCUCCCUUAGGGAAGGGCACCCUGGGCACCCGACCCCUCAGCCGGAUGCCUAGCAGAUGUUCUCAUGCUUCCACUUCCUUGCCCCUUUAUGUCCAGUGGUCACUCCUUUAUGUCCCUUCCAUGUCCUACAUCUCUCUCUGC